UACGUAGGUGGCAAGCGUUGUCCGGAUUUAUUGGGUUUAAAGGGUGCGUAGGCGGAUAUGUAAGUCCGUGGUGAAAUCUCUGGGCUUAACCCGGAAACUGCCAUGGAUACUAUGUGUUUUGAAUGUUGUUGAGGUGAGCGGAAUAUGUCAUGUAGCGGUGAAAUGCUUAGAUAUGACAUAGAACACCAAUUGCGAAGGCAGCUCACUAAGCAAAUAUUGACGCUGAGGCACGAAAGCGUGGGGAUCAAACAGG
This 253-nucleotide ribosomal RNA is filed under the name uncultured bacterium. RNAcentral describes it as "partial 16S ribosomal RNA". It matches the Rfam family "Bacterial small subunit ribosomal RNA", at positions 524 to 776 of the family's 1533-position model. The record is from RNAcentral.